GCAAAUGGCAAAACUGAGAAAAGUAUUUGUAACAUAUGAAACAAACAAAAGAUUAAUAUAUUCAAUAUGUAAAGAAUCACUAUGAGCCUAUAAGAAAAAAAUUAACACUACAAUUGAAACAAAGGGGCAAAGGCUAAAAACUGGCAAUUCAUAGAGAAGAAAUAUAAAUGGUCAAUAAAAUAUAAAAACGUGUUUAACCUUGCUUCUAAUCAAAUAAAUGCAAAUUUAAACAAAUUACUGCUAAGUAAGACUUUCUUUUUAUUUAUUAACUUCUGUACUUCUUGACAACUUUUAAAAGGAACAUGCAAAUAAAAUAAAAAGAAUAAACUGUGCUACUGUGAAACUUGUGUAAACCUGUAAAGCACUCACUGUCUUCUAGAUCUUAAGAAUAUUCUUAUAGGAGUAUGCUUAUUAGAAAGCUAUCUGUUAACAAAUACAUUGUUAAGAGAAAAAAGUAGCCUAUAAAUCAGAAUGCAUAAUAAGAUCCCACAUUGGUGAAAAUACAUGUAGAAAUAUUAAAAGAUGGAAGAAAAUCUAGGUGCAUAUAUAAUAAAAUGUUAAUGGAUUAUUUCUGAAUAUUGCAAAUAUGGAUAAUUUUUUAAUUUUCUUGUUGUUGUAUAUACAUUUUCUAGUUUUUCAACCAUAAGCUUUAUUGCUUGAAGAAAACUUUUAAGUAUAACACACAUGUAGAAAAUUAUGUAACUUGUAAGUGCCAGCCUGAUGUAUAACCACAAAGUGAGCAAAACCAGUGUAUUAGUUUCAUAAUUUUAGCAUCUUUUGCAACCUGGAUAGGCCAAUAAUUCUAAAAUUAUCAAGUGCUAGUUAUUUGUUGAUUAGCAGUUCUUUCCUCAGUUUAUCUCUUUCCUCUAGUGUUGUACUACAAGCAGCAGCAAGGAAAAGCCAGGCCGCACCUUCCACACUUUACUUGGAAAUCUCCUCAGGCAACACAUUUUAAGAGGAAUAUUGACAAGCUAAACUACGUCCAGAUGAGAGCAAACAAGAUGCUGAGAAAACUCAUAGCAGUUGUAAAGUAAAAGAGCGUAAGUAUUUAACCCAAAGAAGAGAAGCCUCCAGAAGGAGUGAUG
This 1085-nucleotide long non-coding RNA is filed under the name Papio anubis (olive baboon). RNAcentral's name for it is "lncRNA (ENSPANG00000045687.1)". Lineage: Eukaryota; Metazoa; Chordata; Mammalia; Primates; Cercopithecidae. The record is from RNAcentral.